Molecule: ribosomal RNA, 253 nt
Filed under: uncultured bacterium
Lineage: Bacteria
Description: partial 16S ribosomal RNA
Rfam family: Bacterial small subunit ribosomal RNA
Source: RNAcentral
UACGUAGGGGGCUAGCGUUGUCCGGAAUCAUUGGGCGUAAAGAGCGUGUAGGCGGUCCGGUAAGUCCGUUGUGAAAGUCAGGGGCUCAACCCUUGAAUGCCGGCGGAUACUGUCGGGCUAGAGUCCGGAAGAGGAGAGUGGAAUUCCCGGUGUAGUGGUGAUAUGCGUAGAUAUCGGGAGGAACACCUGUGGCGAAGGCGGCUUUCUGGGCCUUACCUGACGCUGAGACGCGAAAGCGUGGGGAGCGAACCGG